RNAcentral lists this transfer RNA (74 nucleotides) under Bufo gargarizans andrewsi (West China toad). Its description in RNAcentral is "tRNA-Val". Lineage: Eukaryota; Metazoa; Chordata; Amphibia; Anura; Bufonidae. The record is from RNAcentral.
UUCAUCUUAAUCCUCAACCAAUACUGAGUAAUUCUAUAGCAUUAUAGAAAUUUUUAUGUUAAAACUAGUAACAA